AUCGCUUCUUGGCUUUUUGGCUAAGAUCAAGUGUAGUAUCUGUUCUUAUCAGUUUAAUAUGUCAGGACCAAAUAAGAUUUAUCCAAGGAAUGUAAAAUUGGUUUAAGAUAUGAAAAUCCCAU
Ictidomys tridecemlineatus (thirteen-lined ground squirrel) is the source of this 122-nucleotide non-coding RNA. Lineage: Eukaryota; Metazoa; Chordata; Mammalia; Rodentia; Sciuridae. The record is from Rfam.